RNAcentral lists this ribosomal RNA (666 nucleotides) under uncultured Alphaproteobacteria bacterium. RNAcentral describes it as "bacterial SSU rRNA". It matches the Rfam family "Bacterial small subunit ribosomal RNA", at positions 28 to 740 of the family's 1533-position model. The record is from RNAcentral. Lineage: Bacteria; Pseudomonadati; Pseudomonadota; Alphaproteobacteria.
AGCGAACGCUGGCGGCAGGCUUAACACAUGCAAGUCGAGCGGGCCCUUCGGGGUCAGCGGCGGACGGGUGAGUAACGCGUGGGAACGUGCCUUCUGGUUCGGAAUAACCCUGGGAAACUAGGGCUAAUACCGGAUACGCCCUUUUGGGGAAAGGUUUACUGCCGGAAGAUCGGCCCGCGUCUGAUUAGCUAGUUGGUGGGGUAACGGCCUACCAAGGCGACGAUCAGUAGCUGGUCUGAGAGGAUGAUCAGCCACACUGGGACUGAGACACGGCCCAGACUCCUACGGGAGGCAGCAGUGGGGAAUAUUGGACAAUGGGCGCAAGCCUGAUCCAGCCAUGCCGCGUGAGUGAUGAAGGCCUUAGGGUUGUAAAGCUCUUUUAUCCGGGACGAUAAUGACGGUACCGGAGGAAUAAGCCCCGGCUAACUUCGUGCCAGCAGCCGCGGUAAUACGAAGGGGGCUAGCGUUGCUCGGAAUCACUGGGCGUAAAGGGCGCGUAGGCGGCGUUUUAAGUCGGGGGUGAAAGCCUGUGGCUCAACCACAGAAUGGCCUUCGAUACUGGGACGCUUGAGUAUGGUAGAGGUUGGUGGAACUGCGAGUGUAGAGGUGAAAUUCGUAGAUAUUCGCAGGAACACCGGUGGCGAAGGCGGCCAACUGGACCAUUAC